AUACGGAGGGUGCAAGCGUUAAUCGGAAUUACUGGGCGUAAAGGGUUCGUAGGCGGUUAUUUAAGUCAGAUGUGAAAGCCCCGGGCUCAACCUGGGAAUUGCAUCUGAUACUGGGUAACUAGAGUUUAAGAGAGGAGUGUGGAAUUUCCGGUGUAGCGGUGAAAUGCAUAGAGAUCGGAAGGAACAUCAGUGGCGAAGGCGGCACUCUGGCUUAAAACUGACGCUGAGGAACGAAAGCGUGGGUAGCAAACAGGAUUAGAAACCCUAGUAGUCC
RNAcentral lists this ribosomal RNA (274 nucleotides) under uncultured bacterium. RNAcentral describes it as "partial 16S ribosomal RNA". It matches the Rfam family "Bacterial small subunit ribosomal RNA", at positions 523 to 796 of the family's 1533-position model. The record is from RNAcentral.